CCUACGGGAGGCAGCAGUGAGGAAUAUUGGACAAUGGGUGAGAGCCUGAUCCAGCCAUCCCGCGUGAAGGACGACUGCCCUAUGGGUUGUAAACUUCUUUUAUACUGGGAUAAACCUACUUACGUGUAAGUAGCUGAAGGUACAGUAUGAAUAAGCACCGGCUAACUCCGUGCCAGCAGCCGCGGUAAU
Molecule: ribosomal RNA, 189 nt
Filed under: uncultured bacterium
Lineage: Bacteria
Description: partial 16S ribosomal RNA
Rfam family: Bacterial small subunit ribosomal RNA
Source: RNAcentral